Molecule: long non-coding RNA, 7408 nt
Filed under: Lactuca sativa (garden lettuce)
Lineage: Eukaryota; Viridiplantae; Streptophyta; Magnoliopsida; Asterales; Asteraceae
Description: long non-coding RNA (LSAT_LNC000322)
Source: RNAcentral
GUUAUUAUUCCGAGUUAUUUUCCCGUGUUAUUUUAUUCGCUAUUUUUAUAGCAAAAGUAAUACCUUUGACCAUGUGAUCAGUGAAAGGACUUAGAUUCACAUUGGUACUGGUACGUAGCCUCUAGCCAUGUAGAGCAUGUCUCCAUAAGAUACUGACUUCUAUUCUAUGACAUUGGCAAAUGGUUAGACAGGGCUAUAAGCCUGAAAUCUACCAAGAUGUUAAUCAGAAAUAUUAUGUCUUCUGUGCCAUUUGGGCCGAAGUUUUCUUGAUGUAUAUCAAGUAUGGAAAUUGUUAUAUCUCAUUGAUUGUAUACCUUUGAAUCAAGUCAUUGUUUGAUAUGGAAAGCUUAACACAUGAUUCACAUAUGCCUUUUUUGCUCCUUGAUUCUCUUUGCUUCUGCCAUANGUCUCUUUUCUCCUUUUUUUCUUUUUUUCCUUUCAUAUAUAUAUAUAUAUAUAUAUAUAUAUAUAUAUAUAUAUAUAUAUGACAUAGCAUUAUAUUGUAUCUAUUAUUGAACUCAUUAAGCGUCACCGCUUACCCUAUCAAUGUUUAACAAUUGCAGGUGAUAAGUAACUAGUAUACUCAUACAUUGUUGAAAGAAUUAGAAUAGUUUGUAAUAAUACUUUUGUACUUCAGUUUAUGUUUGUAUAAAUUACAAUAUCCUGGGUAGUUAUGUAAUAUAUAACACUUUAAUUUGUAAUAGUCGGUUUGUAUCCAGUAGUUUGUAACCUCUUUAUCAAUGUAAAAUAUUGCUUUUAUGAAUAUGCAAGUAGCAUGUUUUGGAGUAAUAGUAUUGUGAAGUAUGAAAGUUUAGGUCUUUCAGAAAUACGAAAGUUGGGGUCUUUCAAUCAUGGUAUCAGAGCAGUAGUUUAAGCGAACUAAAUGCCAAGGAUUGGUAUUUAGACUUAAACUAUUGGACGUUCAAUAUAUGAACAGAAUCAUUAUAAGUAUAUGGAUACAAACCAUAGGAAAUACUUAAGUGAAGUAUUAGGCUUUAAUAAAUCCUAAUAUUCUAAAAUUCUAUAUUACUCCUAAAUUUCAGAACGAUGGCUGAACAAGUAAGUAGCCAUACCCAUGAGGUUGGUCGAGGUCCUCAACCCGAGGUAGUGAAUACUCCAGUAUCUCCUCGUGAGGAGCGACUCUUAAGUAAACUUACUGGUGUUAUUCGACAGACUCUCGAAGAACACAAAAAGAAUGGUGAUAAAGGAAAAGAGAAAGCCCUGGAGAAUCNGAAAGGUGAAGCGUCCCUUGUUCAAAAAUUUCAAGAGUAGUGGUGCUACGGAGUUUUCUGGUGUCCUUAAUCCCGUAGUUGUUCUAACUUGGAUUCAGAACACCGAGAAAGUAUUUCGUGUCUCUCAUGUGGAUAAUGAAGACAACGCUAUCUAUGCUUCUGCAAUACUCAUCUGAGAAGCCUUGGUCUGGUGGGAAGCAACAUAUGAAGCUCUUAAUGGAUAUGACCAGGAGAAUUUAUCCUGGGAGUUGUUCAAAACUCGUGUGCUAGAGAAGUAAUGUCCUCUAGAUAUGAGGAGAAGAUUGGAGAAGGAAUUCCUCGAGCUUAAACAAGGAGGAAUGACUGUGAAUGAGUAUGAAACUCAGUUCAAUCAAAAAGCACGGUUUGCUGCAAAGUAUAUUCCAACUGAAGACGAGAAAAUUCAGUUAUUCUUAGAAGGACUACGACAUGAAAUCCAUGAUUUUGUAGCCAAUCGGGAUGUUCUGUCAUUUGAUAAAGCUGUUGAGUAUGCUCGAAGGCGUGAGCAUGACUUAGAGAUACGUGGAGCCACUCAUACUGCUUCGAAGCAUCCACGUACUGAAAGAACUAUUUCUGUUUACACUAUUCCACUAGCUCAAUCUGUUUGAACUGAUCCUAGCAAGCAAGCACAAUCUCAGAGUGCUUUUCGUGGCCGCAGCAGGUCACAAUCUUUUUCUAUUCAAUCGCCUUCAUGUCGUGUUUGUGGAAGGAAUCAUCUCGGUCAAUGCAAAAUAGACAAGGAAUCUAUUGUCUGUUAUGGGUGUGGAGAAACUGGUCAUAUAAAGCGAGCUUGCCCAAGGAAGGAUGUGACUUGCUAUGCAUGUGGUAUUACUGGACACAAGAAUCGUUUUUGCCCUACUCUUACCAGUCAAGUGACGGGAAGUCAAGCUUCUGUUCAACAACCGGCGAGAAGUCAAGUCCCUAUCCAACAACUAAAGAAUACUCCAGCUAAAAAGGAGGAGGUGCCAAAAGCUAAGGGUCGUGCAUUCCAUAUUACCACUGAGGAAGCACGCGAGGACCCGAAUGUUGUGACGGGUACAUUUCUUGUCAACUCUAGACCUGCUCACAUCUUAUUUGAUUCUGGUGCCUUAGAUUCUUUUGUAUCUUAUGGAUUUGCGCAUUCUUUUCAAACUACUUGCUAUGCACUCGCGCAACCAUCUCACGUAGAUACUGCAGGAAGUAUAUCAUUACUUGCUGAUAAAAUCUAUAGGAAUUGUGUCAUAGAAAUUGAAGGCUAUAAUUUUCUUGCUAACCUAAUCCCUAUCUCCUUGCCUAACUUCGAUAUUAUUCUCGGCAUGGAUUGGUUGUCAAAGAACCACGCAGAGCUCUUGUGUUAUGAAAAGAUAGUACGCGUUCCUAUUGAAGGGGAAGAUCCUAUUCAUGUCUACGGUGAACAAAGGAUCUUAAAAAUAAUUUAUUUCCUCAAAACUCGUAAAUUUAUAUCAAAGGGUUGCCCUAUCUAUUUAGCCUAUACAGUUGACAUCUCAAGAAAGGAGAAUAAAACUGUAAAUGAUGUUCCCAUUGUUAAUGAAUAUUCUGAUGUUUUCCCCGAUGAUCUGCCCGGACUUCCUCUGGACAGGCAAGUAGAAUUCUGAAUUGACCUUGUGCCUGGUGCUGCUCCGAUUGCAAAGACUCCUUAUCGUCUUGCGCCAACCGAGAUGAAAGAAAUGAUGAUCCAACUGUAGGAAUUACUUGACAAAGGCUUUAUUCGAUCGAGUACCUCUCCCUGUUGUGCUCCAGUAUUGUUUGUCAAGAAGAAGGACGCAUCGAUGCGAAUGUGCAUUGAUUAUCGUGAGCUGAAUAAGGUGACUAUCAAGAACAAGUACCCACUACCUCGCAUCGACGAUUUGUUCGAUCAACUUCAGGGUGUUAGCUAUUUCUCAAAGAUUGAUUUGAGAUCUAGCUAUCAUCAGUUGAAAGUACAAGAGCAAGAUGUACCAAAGACUGCUUUCCGUACUUGUUAUGGGCAUUUCGAAUUCCUUGUCAUGUCAUUCGGUUUGACAAAUGCUCCUGUUGUAUUCAUGGAUAUGAUGAAUCGAGUAUGCCGCCCAAUGCUCGAUAAAUCUGUCAUUGUAUUCAUUGACGAUAUUCUAAUCUAUUCCAAGUCUGAAGUUGAUCAUGUCGUUCAUAUUCGUGAAAUCUUAGAAAUUCUUCGAAAGGAGAAACUAUAUGCUAAAUUCUCGAAAUGUAAAUUUUGUCUUCGCCAAGUUUAAUUUCUCGGCCAUGUUAUUUCUGGUGACGGUGUAUCCGUAGAUCCUACCAAAAUCGAAGCCAUUCAAAAUUGGGAAGUGCCCCGUAAUGCUUCCGAAAUUUGUAGUUUCAUGGGUCUUGUGGGUUAUUACCAAAGAUUCAUUAAAGACUUUUCUCGUAUAGCUGUACCUCUCAAUAGUCUUACUUGAAAGGAAGCAAAGUUCGAAUGGGGUGAAGCCCAAGAAAAAGCUUUCUCGACUUUAAAAGAUCUUUUGACUCAUGCUCCCAUCUUAUCACUUCCAGAAGGUGAUGAUGAUUUCUCCGUAUAUAGCGAUGCUUCAAGAUUGGGACUUGGUUGUGUGUUGAUGCAACGUGGUAAAGUGAUAGCCUAUGCCUUAAGACAACCGAAAGAUUAUGAAAAGAAUUAUCCCACCCAUGAUCUCAAACUCGCUGCAGUGGUAUUUGCCCUAAAACUUUGGAGACAUUAUCUUUUUGGUACGAAAUGCCAAUUUUUUACCGACCACAAGAGUCUCAAGUAUAUAUUCAGUCAGCAAACUCUGAAUAUGAGACAGCAACGAGCCAUGGAGCUGAUCAAAGACUAUGACUGUGAAAUCAUGUACCAUCCUAGAAAGGCUAAUGUGGUUGCAGAUGCACUUAGCAUGAAGGUUUAUCGUAAUAGUAUGUGCUAUACUAUUACUCAGACUACGGUGAAGUUCACUAUUCUUGAUGAACUAGAGAAGUGGCAAGUUGAGGCCUUAAAGCCAGAAAAUGUGAAGAAACGAGGGAUGGUACAUUAUGCUGAUGUUUUACUUGAUGAACCACGAGGAUUAAAAGUAUUUAAGAAUCGGCUAUCGAUUCCAAAGAUUGGUGGAUUAAGACAGAAUAUUUUAGAUGAAGCUCAUAAGUCUAAGCUGUCAAUACAUCCUGGUACAAGUAAAAUGUACUAUGAUGUAAGAGCUGAUUAUUGGUGGUCUGGAUUAAAGAGAGACAUUCGACUAUAUGUGCAAGAAUGCUUAGUAUGCUUACAAGUUAAAACAGAGCACCAAAAACCAUACGGAACCCCAGAAAGUCUUAGUGUUCCUGUAUGGAAAUGGGAAGAGCUGUCCAUGGAUUUUAUUACCAAAUUGCCAGAGACUGCUAGACAACAUGAUAGCAUUUGGGUAAUCGUCGACCGCCUGACUAAGAGUGCACAUUUUCUCGCCAUGCGUGAAACGGCUCUAAUGGAGAAAUAUGCAUAAGUAUACUUAGAUGAAAUUGUUGCAAGACAUGGUGUGCCACUAAAGAUCAUUUUCGAUCGCGAUACUCGUUUCACUUCUCAUUUUUGGGCGAGUAUGCAACGAGAAUUGGGAUCUCGAGUUUCCCUCAACACAGCUUAUCAUCUCCAGACAGACGGUUAGACAGAGAGAACAAUCCAAAAAGUAGAAGAUAUGCUUCAUGCAUGUGUCUUGUAGUUCGGUGGUAACCUGGAUAAAUACUUGUCUCUUUUCGAAUUUUCAUAUAAUAACAGUUACCACGCUUCAAUAAAAAUGCCACCAUAUGAAGCAUUAUAUGGUCGCAAAUGUUGUACACCAUUAUGUUGGCGUGAUAUAGGAUAGAAGAUCCUUGGAGGCCCUAAAAUGAUUCAAGAUACCAUCGACAAAAUUCAAAUCAUACGAGAAAGAAUGAAAGCGGCCUAGGAUCGACAAAAUUCCUAUACAGAAAAGAGAAGACGACCCAUAGAAUUCCAAGUGGGUGAUUUUGUGAUGCUAAAGGUAUCCCCAUGGAAAGGCCUUAUGAGAUUUGGGAAGACAGGAAAGUUGAGUCCUAGAUUUGUUGGACCUUUCAAAAUCAUCCAGAGAAUUGGAAAGCAAGCAUACCGCUUAGAAUUGCAUGAACAUUUGGCUGGUAUUCAUGAUGUCUUUCAUGUGAGUUAUCUGCGCAAAUGUUUGAGCAUCUACGAGGAGACGGUUCCGUUGUCCGAGGUGAAAUUGGAUAAUAAGUUAAGAUAUGUCGAAGAGCCUGAAGAGAUCGUGAAUGAAAGAACAACUAAGCUACGUAAUAAAGAAGUAGAGUUGGUGCUUGUCAAGUGGAAACCCUAUCGAGGCCCAAAUUAUACUAGGGAAAAUAAGAAUGAGAUAAGAGCGAAACAUCCCCAUUUAUUUUAAUCAAUGUAAUUUCGGGGACGAAAUCCUCAAAAGGAGGAGGUAUUUGUAACAAACAAUUUUUUUAAAUCGUGUUUUGUAAUGAAUAAAAUUGUGAAAUACUAUGUGAAAUUGAGUGUUGAGUUCUAACAGAUAGUUUUUACUAGAAAUGAAGUAAAACUAUGUUUAGAAUCACUCAAAAAAUGUUGGAAGUCUUAUGAGAUUCCAAUUAAAAGUCAAAUAGUGAAAUUUAGCGAAAAUAUAAAAUUUGAAGUAAGGAAAAUUUUAUUAUUGAAAGUUGUAAAUAAUCUCGUUAGAAACUUGUAGGCAAAAAUCUCGUCGAAAUCUGAGUUAUAACGAAGAAGUUAUGACCAAUCGAAAAUUCGCGACAAAACCGACACGGCGCCGAAUGACGUAAAAAGUGAUUUUUUGAUAAAUGACUUUUUAGACUUAGUGACCUAAAUGAAAAUCGUAGUAUUCAUUAAACCGAGAAGUUUGAUAAAAAGAACGCCAAAAUCUGACUUCGUAUGACGAAGUUAUGAUUUUUCUAAGUUUCGGAAUAACAGUAGACAACUAAAAACUCGAAAUAAAGAUCGAACGAUACUUAGCCGACAUGACCUAAACGACAAUCGAAGGUCUCGUCAAUAGUAGUACAACAGUAAAAAGUCCGACGAAAACGGAUGUCGGAAGAAGAAGUUAUGAAUUUUUAACGGAUUUACAUGUCCCGGUCUGUUAAAAAUAAUAAUUUAAAAAUUAAAGUCAAAAUUAGCCAACGAUGUCUAGACAAAAGAUGUAGAGCGUAAUUUUACCUACACAUGCAUAUAAAGAACGUCAAAAACGGAGCCCGUAUGCGAAAGUUAUGGAUUUUAGAAGAUCGGGGCUCAAUUUCCGAGAAAUUAUGGAUAAGACCCGGGGAAUCUCGCAUGAACAGUAGCCGCUCUACCCGGAUCCGACGCAUGUUGCCUUCCGAUUCGUCCGAAGCCGUGUCCAAACCAGCUUCCGACGCGCCUCGCACCGCUGGAGCCAUCCGAGCCGAGCCGUCUGGCAUCCGACCCUCACAUCCGAUCCAGCUGCUGCGUCCGAGCCUUGCUGCUGCGGCUUCUGCCGUCGCAUCCUGAUGUCGCGUGUUCCUUCUGCCAGCACACCCUCCGAACCUCGGCCCUAUAAAAGGGGGGCUGCGAGCCUUCCCAGGUAAUCUUUUAAAAUUGCCAUAUUUUACCUCUUUUUCCAUAUUUUCAUCAUAUUAAAAUUCCCCGAAGCCCCGGUAUCGAUUAUAACCCCCGAAUUACGCCACGAAGUGCCCGAGAAGCCCAUAAAAUUUAUUUUUUCGGUUUUGAAGCCCUAUCUUCGCAAAGCCCGGUUUUCAAUUAAGCUCCUGGUUUUCAACAUAGAAAGUCAUAUUUAAAGCCGAAGCGCUGCCCAAAUUACUAUUUUGACCCCCGGUUAAUGCAAGGUGAGUUCAAUAUAUAGGAACAAUUGUAUGUUAUGUCUUAUAUAUGCUAUGUGCUUUUCAGUGUUAUUAUUCCGAGUUAUUUUCCCGUGUUAUUUUAUUCGCUAUUUUUAUAGCAAAAGUAAUACCUUUGACCAUGUGAUCAGUGAAAGGACUUAGAUUCACAUUGGUACUGGUACGUAGCCUCUAGCCAUGUAGAGCAUGUCUCCGUAAGAGAAUGACUUCUAUUCUAUGGCAUUGGCAAAUGGUUAGACAGGGCUAUAAGCCUGAAAUCUACCAAGAUGUUAAUUAGAAAUCUUAUGUCUUCUGUGCCAUUUGGGCCGAAGUUUUCUUGAUGUAUAUCAAGUAUGGAAAUUGUUAUAUCUCAUUGAUUGUAUACCUUUGAAUCAAGUCAUUGU